This 432-nucleotide ribosomal RNA is filed under the name uncultured soil bacterium. RNAcentral describes it as "bacterial SSU rRNA". It matches the Rfam family "Bacterial small subunit ribosomal RNA", at positions 26 to 495 of the family's 1533-position model. The record is from RNAcentral.
AGAACGAACGCUGGCGGCAUGCCUAAUACAUGCAAGUCGAACGAACACUUCGGUGUUAGUGGCGCACGGGUGCGUAACGCGUGGGAAUCUGCCCUUGGGUUCGGAAUAACAGUUGGAAACGACUGCUAAUACCGGAUGAUAUCGAAAGAUCAAAGAUUUAUCGCCCAGGGAUGAGCCCGCGUAGGAUUAGCUAGUUGGUGAGGUAAAGGCUCACCAAGGCGACGAUCCUUAGCUGGUCUGAGAGGAUGAUCAGCCACACUGGGACUGAGACACGGCCCAGACUCCGUACGGGAGGCAGCAGUAGGGAAUAUUGGACAAGUGGGCGCAAGCCUAGAUCCAGCAAGUCGCCGCGUGAGUGAUGAAGGUCGUUAGGGUUAGUAAACGUCUUACGUUUUACCCGAGUAGUAGUAGUAAUAGAACGUAGUAGUACGG